GAACUCUUCUAGCAGAGGAAAAAAAAAUUAGAAGACGGCAGUAAUUUUCCGCAACAAGUCGCUAUUCUAUCUUUGUCCUGCCCACUUUCUUGCUCUGUAUAUUAACACUGUUGGUUGCUAUCUCAAUCCUUGUCACAAAUUAGAACUUAUACAAAAGCCAAAGAGGUUACUUUCUUCGAGUUCAUGUGAGUAGUUGAGAGCUCCUUUUGCUUUCCUCAGCCAAGAUUCAGGGGUUUAUACAAUCUUUUUGUGGGAUGUUUGACAUGUGAAUUCCUAUAUCGAAAAAGGCAACCCUUUAAGGAUUGAGCAAUAGCUGACUUCUCCAUUGAAGUUGUGCCAUGGAAGCCGCCAUUUUUAGCUCUUACACACCGCUUUCCACUACAGCGGACCUCAGGAUUCCAGGAAAGUUUGCUGGAUGUAAUCUCCAAUUCUAUAAUUUGCCAUUGAACAGAACACGCAUUCCUCUCAAGUUAAAACUUUCUGAAUCAAGUAGAAGGCACUUUUCUUCACGAAAGGGGCUGAUAUUGUCAAAUGGUAGGAAAGAAUUAUCCAGCUAUUUUACGGGUCAACUUUCAAGAGACUAUACAAGUAUCAGGGCAGCAUCAGGAGAAACGCUGCAUUAUGGACAGUCUUCAUCAGUUAGUGAAGAUGAGGGAAUGUCACCAACAUCUACAGAGGCCAAUGACUUUGUGUCCUUGCAGCCUAAGCAGAAGCAAUUUAAAAAUAGAUUCUUGAACUUUGUAAGACUGGGUUCCGUCAUUGAUAAUGCUGCCGAGUCUUUUUUCAAGAGUGAGAUAAGGAGAAGGCUGUUUGUGACUGCCAUCUUAAUUCUCAUUAGCCGUAUAGGAUAUUUCAUUCCUCUUCCAGGAUUUGACAGGAGGUUGAUUCCAGAAGACUAUCUCAGCUUUGUCUCGGGAUCUGUUGAUCAACUUGGUGAUUCGACUCCGGAACUUAAACUCUCUCUUUUCCAACUUGGGGUCAGUCCUCAGAUAGCGGCAUCCAUUCUUAUGCAGGUAUUAUGUCACGUUCUUCCUUCUUUAGUGAAGCUGAGAAAAGAGGGCUUAGAUGGGCAUGAGAAGAUCAAGAGUUAUAUAUGGUGGAUCUCGCUUGGUUUUGCAAUUUUGGAGGGUCUUAUUCUCUCUUGUUACUCACUUCCAUAUUCGAUAUAUGCUGCCAGUCAUAGGGUUAAGCAUGUGUUGAUGACUACGUCCCUUUUAGUUUCUGGUGCAAUGACCAUGUCAUGGAUCUGCGACAAAAUAACAGAGUCUGGAUUUGGUCAAGGAUCAACUUUGAUUAUUUGUGUGGGCAUUUUGACUGGCUACACUGAUACAUUGCAGAAAAUGUUAACUCAAAUAUCAGGAAAUAGCGGGAGCUGGUGGCCUUAUGUACUUGCAGUACUAGGUGUUUUUACUGUUGUUACAAUGUGGGCUGUCGUUGUGAGUGAAGGGUGCCGGAAAGUUAAGCUGCAGUAUUAUGGUUUUAAAGUCGCUUCUGCUGCAAGAGAAGAUUCUCCAGUUCCAGAGGUGGAGCCCUAUAUACCAUUCAACAUAAACCCAGCAGGAAUGCAGCCUAUUCUUGUUACCUCUUAUCUGUUGGCACUUCCCGGCAUCCUUGCAAGUCUUCUUGGUUCAAGGUUUUGGGAACACGUAAGAGACAUUUUGAAUCCCGACACUUCUCAUGGGGCAGAUCCGUGGGUUUACUAUACAGUUUAUGCUUUCUUUGUCUUCCUCUUCAACAUAUUUGACAUUGCGAACAUGCCAAAAGAAAUUGCUGAUUACUUAAACAAGAUAGGUGCUAGAAUUCCGAGUAUAAAGCCUGGAAAAGCUACAAUUGCAUAUUUGACAAAGAUCCAAGCUUCAACGCGGUUCUGGGGUGGUGUAUUAUUAAGUGUUUUGGCCACUACAUCCACCAUUCUAGACCAUUAUUUGCGUCGCAUCAAUGAAGGAUAUGCAAUAGGAUUGACAUCAGUGCUAAUAAUUGUGGGCUCAAUUAUUGAACUGAGAAGAUCUUAUCAAGCAUAUAAUGUAAUGCCAAGUCUAAGUAUGGCUUUGAAGCGGUAUGGUGUAUGAGAUUGGAGGGUGGCUCUAUUUGAGUAAAUGGGAUUCAGUUCUUGCUUGCACCAUUGGUGCGGAGAAUAUUUUGCAGAGUCUAGGAUUUUCUUGAGUGAAAUCUACGUACUGAUCACAUUUUGUAACUUGGAAGAUCAAAGAUGUCACGAUCAGCCUACUCCUCCCGGUCAAGCCACAUUUUCCAUAUGUAGCGAGUAAAAUGUAGCCCUUUGGCUGAGAGUAAACCAUGAUGCAGGAUGAGUCGCAGUGUCACACGAUGAGGACUAGCCCGUGCUGCAAAUAACUGAAUUUUAACAAAGACGAGCGUGAUAGGGAGGGGUUUAUCGAUUUGUUCAGGGAGAGCAUUAUUUGGCUUGCUUACAUUCUGAUGAAGUGCUGUCUGUGCAUUAAUAGAGUUCAAGAUGCCUGAAGAAUAUGCAUGGUCAUAAUUAUAUAUGAUAUUACAUUUGUUUGUGCUCUAGAUGGCCAAGAUAUGGCAUGAAGCAAGUGUACUUUUCUUCUCUUGGCAAGCAAAAGAGGAUGUAAUUUUUUUUAAAUAUUUUUUUGGGGUAUGUUUACAAUCUUCGUGUUGGUUGAAUGGUGUGCAUCAGUGUGAAACUUUAAUCAUACUUGCUCCUUUUACCUCUGUACUCAAAUGUU
Lycium ferocissimum is the source of this 2708-nucleotide RNA transcript. It is a transcript of the gene named preprotein translocase subunit SCY2, chloroplastic, with no coding region annotated. NCBI's taxonomy places the organism in Eukaryota, Viridiplantae, Streptophyta, Magnoliopsida, Solanales, Solanaceae. The transcript is spliced from 15 exons. The record is from RefSeq and is a predicted model, not a curated record.